GUCCAGGGGCGGGAAUCGAACCCACGACCUUCCGCUUACCGGGCAGAUGCCAUGUCCACUAGGCUACCCUAGA
RNAcentral lists this transfer RNA (73 nucleotides) under Cordylochernes scorpioides. Its description in RNAcentral is "tRNA-Thr". Lineage: Eukaryota; Metazoa; Arthropoda; Arachnida; Pseudoscorpiones; Chernetidae. The record is from RNAcentral.